Anopheles gambiae (African malaria mosquito) is the source of this 186-nucleotide non-coding RNA. NCBI's taxonomy places the organism in Eukaryota, Metazoa, Arthropoda, Insecta, Diptera, Culicidae. The record is from Rfam.
AUUCUUCUGUGCUCUGCAAUGGGAUAGGAUCCGAAGCCCUUCUGAGGGAUAAUAUAGGCUCUCUUAUUUAACUCCUACUCGGACAAGUCCCUGUUCGUGCAGAGUGGCAACAUGUGUCAUCACAUAUUCAAGCUUGAGUGCACGGACUAGUUCCAACCCCUCGGGAAACAGAGUCGUAAUAAAGGA